GACGAACGCUGGCGGCGUGCUUAACACAUGCAAGUCGAACGGAAAGGCCCUGCUUGCAGGGUACUCGAGUGGCGAACGGGUGAGUAACACGCGGGUGAUCUGCCCUGCACUUCGGGAUAAGCUUGGGAAACUGGGUCUAAUACCGGAUAGGAGCCAUCUUUAGUGUGGUGGUUGGAAAGUUUUUUCGGUGUAGGAUGAGCUCGCGGCCUAUCAGCUUGUUGGUGGGGUAAUGGCCUACCAAGGCGGCGACGGGUAGCCGGCCUGAGAGGGUGUACGGCCACAUUGGGACUGAGAUACGGCCCAGACUCCUACGGGAGGCAGCAGUGGGGAAUAUUGCACAAUGGGCGCAAGCCUGAUGCAGCGACGCCGCGUGGGGGAUGAAGGCCUUCGGGUUGUAAACUCCUUUCGCUAGGGACGAAGCUUUUUUGUGACGGUACCUAGAUAAGAAGCACCGGCUAACUACGUG
Molecule: ribosomal RNA, 466 nt
Filed under: uncultured bacterium
Lineage: Bacteria
Description: partial 16S ribosomal RNA
Rfam family: Bacterial small subunit ribosomal RNA
Source: RNAcentral